CAGAGAAUAUGCCCUUUAGGUAUAUCUCCCACCCUUUUGUUUACAAUACUUCGUUGCUUUGGCAGGCCCGUCUUCUGGACCACCGGCCUUGGCUGGUCUGUGCCUGCCAGAGGAUCCCUAACACUCUUUAUUUAUGCUGUCUGAGUACUAUAUAAUACUUAA
This 162-nucleotide unclassified non-coding RNA is filed under the name uncultured Helotiales. RNAcentral describes it as "sequence contains ITS1". Lineage: Eukaryota; Fungi; Ascomycota; Leotiomycetes; Helotiales. The record is from RNAcentral.